Molecule: ribosomal RNA, 896 nt
Filed under: Callistosporium luteo-olivaceum
Lineage: Eukaryota; Fungi; Basidiomycota; Agaricomycetes; Agaricales; Callistosporiaceae
Description: partial 25S large subunit ribosomal RNA
Rfam family: Eukaryotic large subunit ribosomal RNA
Source: RNAcentral
GAGGAAAAGAAACUAACCAGGAUUCCCCUAGUAACUGCGAGUGAAGCGGGAAAAGCUCAAAUUUAAAAUCUGGCGGUCUCAGACUGUCCGAGUUGUAAUCUAGAGAAGUGUUAUCCGCGUUGGACCGUGUACAAGUCCCUGGAAUGGAGCGUCAUAGAGGGUGAGAAUCCCGUCUUUGACACGGACUGCCAGGGCUUUGUGAUGCGCUCUCAAAGAGUCGAGUUGUUUGGGAAUGCAGCUCAAAAUGGGUGGUAAAUUCCAUCUAAAGCUAAAUAUUGGCGAGAGACCGAUAGCGAACAAGUACCGUGAGGGAAAGAUGAAAAGAACUUUGGAAAGAGAGUUAAACAGUACGUGAAAUUGCUGAAAGGGAAACGCUUGAAGUCAGUCGCGUGGCCAGGGAUCAACCUUGCUUUUGCUGGGUGUACUUUCUGGUUAACGGGUCAACAUCAAUUUUGAUUGUUGGAAAAAGAUUAAAGGAAUGUAGCAUCUUCGGAUGUGUUAUAGCCUUUGGUUGUAUACAACAGUUGGGAUUGAGGAACUCAGCACGCCGAAAGGCCGGGUUUUAACCACGUUCGUGCUUAGGAUGUUGGCAUAAUGGCUUUAAUCGACCCGUCUUGAAACACGGACCAAGGAGUCUAACAUGCUGCGAGUGUUUGGGUGGAAAACCCGAGCGCGUAAUGAAAGUGAAAGUUGAGAUCCCUGUCGCGGGGAGCAUCGACGCCCGGACCAGAAAUUUAUGGACGGUUCCGCGGUAGAGCAUGUAUGUUGGGACCCGAAAGAUGGUGAACUAUGCCUGAAUAGGGUGAAGCCAGAGGAAACUCUGGUGGAGGCUCGUAGCGAUUCUGACGUGCAAAUCGAUCGUCAAAUUUGGGUAUAGGGGCGAAAGACUAAUCGAA